Molecule: ribosomal RNA, 449 nt
Filed under: uncultured bacterium
Lineage: Bacteria
Description: partial 16S ribosomal RNA
Rfam family: Bacterial small subunit ribosomal RNA
Source: RNAcentral
CCUACGGGUGGCUGCAGUGGGGAAUUUUGGACAAUGGGGGCAACCCUGAUCCAGCCAUUCCGCGUGAGUGAAGAAGGCCUUCGGGUUGUAAAGCUCUUUUGUCCGGAGCGAAACGGGCGGCCCUAAUACGGUCGUCUACUGACGGUACCGGAAGAAUAAGCACCGGCUAACUACGUGCCAGCAGCCGCGGUAAUACGUAGGGUGCGAGCGUUAAUCGGAAUUACGGGGGCGAUUGUGUGCGCAGGCUGUUACAUCCCCGGGCUCACCCUGGGAAUGGCAUUUGGGACUGCAAGGCUGGAGUGUGGCAGAGGGGACUAGAAUUCCUGGUGUAGCAGUGAAAUGCGUAGAUAUCAGGAGGAAUACCGAUGGCGAAGGCAGGUCCCUGGGUUAACACUGACGCUCAUGCACGAAAGCGUGGGGAGCAAACAGGAUUAGAUACCCCAGUAGUC